GAUUAUGUGGCCGAUUGUAGGUGUUAGUCUCUUAAAUUAAUUAAGACUUAAUUA
Molecule: transfer RNA, 54 nt
Filed under: Pardosa pusiola
Lineage: Eukaryota; Metazoa; Arthropoda; Arachnida; Araneae; Lycosidae
Description: tRNA-Lys
Source: RNAcentral